This 253-nucleotide ribosomal RNA is filed under the name uncultured bacterium. Its description in RNAcentral is "partial 16S ribosomal RNA". It matches the Rfam family "Bacterial small subunit ribosomal RNA", at positions 524 to 776 of the family's 1533-position model. The record is from RNAcentral.
UACGGAGGGUGCAAGCGUUAAUCGGAAUUACUGGGCGUAAAGCGCACGCAGGUGGCUGAGUCAGUCGAUUGUGAAAGCCCUGGGCUUAACCUGGGAAUUGCAGUCGAUACUACUCAGCUAGAGUAUGGGAGAGGGUAGUGGAAUUCCCGGUGUAGCGGUGAAAUGCGCAGAUAUCAGGAGGAACACCGGUGGCGAAGGCGGAUCUCUGGGCCUUGCCUGACGCUGAGGCGCGAAAGCUAGGGGAGCGAACAGG